GGCCAGUUAGCUCAGUCGGUUGAGCAUGGAGCUGAUAACACCAAGGUUGCCGGUUCAAUCCUCAUUUGGUCC
Molecule: transfer RNA, 72 nt
Filed under: Apaloderma vittatum (bar-tailed trogon)
Lineage: Eukaryota; Metazoa; Chordata; Aves; Trogoniformes; Trogonidae
Rfam family: tRNA
About the family: Transfer RNA (tRNA) molecules are approximately 80 nucleotides in length. Their secondary structure includes four short double-helical elements and three loops (D, anti-codon, and T loops). Further hydrogen bonds mediate the characteristic L-shaped molecular structure. tRNAs have two regions of fundamental functional importance: the anti-codon, which is responsible for specific mRNA codon recognition, and the 3' end, to which the tRNAs corresponding amino acid is attached (by aminoacyl-tRNA synthetases). tRNAs cope with the degeneracy of the genetic code in two manners: having more than one tRNA (with a specific anti-codon) for a particular amino acid; and 'wobble' base-pairing, i.e. permitting non-standard base-pairing at the 3rd anti-codon position.
Source: Rfam by way of RNAcentral